CAUUCAUGUGUCAAAUAAGAACUGCAAUGCUCACCAUGAGAGGUUAUUCAGCAUUUUGUGCAAUUUUGUUCGUGAUUAUUGUUGGGUUCCGAUUGUUACGAUUGCAAUAGUAAUCACGCUCGGUGUGCUGUUGACCUGGUGUUGCUGCAGGCGGUGUCGCCGUAAUCAGUGAGUGAUAAUCCAGUACGGAUUACCACAGAGCACCAUACUAGUGGCUCAGCAACAGAACACGAAUGUUAUGCACGCGGGGUACGACCAGCGAUGAAGACCGGGUCAAACGGAGAUGAACGAAAAGUGUGGAACAUUUCUUAAUUCUUUUAAACAUCCCUGUGAAUAUCGUUGCUUUAGACUUCUUAUGUGUUUCACUUUUGUUAUUUCUAAUGAUAUGUUGUUUUCAUUACCAUCUCACAAGUCAUUAGCACGUUUUCACCAAAAUUAUCUUCAUUCUAUGUUGGAUCUCUUUUUUAAAUGUAUCUUAAUUCAGUUUCCUAUUUAAUAUAUAUAUAUCAAUUUACCAGGGUGAAGAAUCAACGGGGUUUUCAGGGGUUUACACACGGGCUGGACAGAUUGUAAACACGACGUUUAAAACUUUUUUUGCAAAUAUCUCAAGUUAUUGAAAUACAUUUGCAAAAAUCUAUAGUGCUUAAAAGACAUUUUGUCUUGCAGUUUGAACCGAUAUCUUAAGGUAUAAGAAUAAAUCCUUGAAUACGUCUGAAAUCGGUGACAAAAUAAAACGUUGCGUGAAACAAAACCGUGUACAAUGAAUGCAGUAAAAUGGAUUUUUUAACAAGAACACUUGCUUAUUAUAUAAAGUAAUUCUGAUGUAGUUCACAUUGCCAUAAGCAGCAUACAAAUCUGUCUUUAAACACUGGUGGAAAUUCUUAAGAAAACUUGUUUUAAAAAGUUGUUUGAAAUAAAGCACCACUUACCGUCGUCUUAAAAUCCAGUAAAGUUAAAAGAUGGAACCCCGAAAGGUCACGUGAUCCUGCACCUUGUUUACGCCGAAAUAGAACGAUAUGAGUGUUCAUCAGGAUGUCCAAAGUACCAUAUUCGACCCUACGUAUAAACAUUUAAUCCGAUGCUCUUGAAGUUCAGCCGAUACAACUAACUAUUAAUUUAAUUAUCUGGAAAAAACACCCAACCAAACACAAGUUUCAUUACUGAGUGUACAUUAUUUGGUGGUUCCACAUAUCAUGACUAUUUGGCGGAUUUCUAGAUUGUUAAAAUGAUUUUAACUGUUAAGAUUUAUUUCAUAAUAAAAUACUUAUCAUAA
This is a long non-coding RNA of Dreissena polymorpha, 1273 nucleotides long. RefSeq lists it as uncharacterized. The transcript has 3 exons. Lineage: Eukaryota; Metazoa; Mollusca; Bivalvia; Myida; Dreissenidae. The record is from RefSeq and is a predicted model, not a curated record.